UACGUAGGGGGCAAGCGUUAUCCGGAUUUACUGGGUGUAGAGGGAGCGUAGACGGCAAUGCAAGUCUGGAGUGAAAGGCGGGGGCCCAACCCCCGGACUGCUCUGGAAACUGUAUAGCUGGAGUGCAGGAGAGGUAAGUGGAAUUCCUAGUGUAGCGGUGAAAUGCGUAGAUAUUAGGAGGAACACCAGUGGCGAAGGCGGCUUACUGGACUGUAACUGACGUUGAGGCUCGAAAGCGUGGGGAGCAAACAGG
This 253-nucleotide ribosomal RNA is filed under the name uncultured bacterium. RNAcentral describes it as "partial 16S ribosomal RNA". It matches the Rfam family "Bacterial small subunit ribosomal RNA", at positions 524 to 776 of the family's 1533-position model. The record is from RNAcentral.